Molecule: unclassified non-coding RNA, 201 nt
Filed under: uncultured Auriculariales
Lineage: Eukaryota; Fungi; Basidiomycota; Agaricomycetes; Auriculariales
Description: sequence contains ITS2
Source: RNAcentral
AAACCCUCACCCUGGUGACAUUAAGUUGUCGCUUGUGGUGGACUUGGAUUGUGCCGUAGUUGGCUCGUCCUUAAAUGCAUUAGCUUGUGCCAGUUAGAGUGCUUGGUGCGGUGUGAUAAUUAUCUACGCCGUUGCUUCAUGCCUCUUCUUGUGGUGCUGCUUCCAAACCGUCCCUCUGGGACAAUGCAAAUGCCCAAAGCU